Molecule: ribosomal RNA, 492 nt
Filed under: uncultured bacterium
Lineage: Bacteria
Description: partial 16S ribosomal RNA
Rfam family: Bacterial small subunit ribosomal RNA
Source: RNAcentral
AGUGAACGCUGGCGGUCGGCCUAACACAUGCAAGUCGAACGGCAGCACAGUAAGAGCUUGCUCUUACGGGUGGCGAGUGGCGGACGGGUGAGGAAUACAUCGGAAUCUACUUUUUCGUGGGGGAUAACGUAGGGAAACUUACGCUAAUACCGCAUACGACCUACGGGUGAAAGCAGGGGAUCUUCGGACCUUGCGCGAUUGAAUGAGCCGAUGUCGGAUUAGCUAGUUGGCGGGGUAAAGGCCCACCAAGGCGACGAUCCGUAGCUGGUCUGAGAGGAUGAUCAGCCACACUGGAACUGAGACACGGUCCAGACUCCUACGGGAGGCAGCAGUGGGGAAUAUUGGACAAAGGGCGCAAGCCUGAUCCAGCCAUACCGCGUGGGUGAAGAAGGCCUUCGGGUUGUAAAGCCCUUUUGUUGGGAAAGAAAAGCAGCAGGUUAAUACCCCGCUGUUCUGACGGUACCCAAAGAAUAAGCACCGGCUAACUUCGUG